This 74-nucleotide transfer RNA is filed under the name Acropora cervicornis. Its description in RNAcentral is "tRNA-Ala". It matches the Rfam family "tRNA". Rfam says of the family: Transfer RNA (tRNA) molecules are approximately 80 nucleotides in length. The record is from RNAcentral. Lineage: Eukaryota; Metazoa; Cnidaria; Anthozoa; Scleractinia; Acroporidae.
GGCUUCAUAGCUCAGUUGGUAAGAGCACUGCUCUGGCAUUGCGGAGGCCAUGGGUUCGAAUGCCAUUAAAGACA